GAUACACACCUGGACUCAGAAGUGGGACACAACUUUACCUGCUAAGAAAGGUCAGAGAAUAGAGUUGUUAAAAGAAAAGAGCAAUGGACCUGAACUUUUCCAUGGAAUCAUGGGCACUGUUGUUCACUAUCCUGGUGCUGCUCUACCUUUAUGGAACUUCUACUCAUGGACUUUUUAAGAAGCUAGGAAUUCCUGGCCCCAAGCCUCUGCCUUUUGUUGGGACAAUGCAUCUCUACAGGAAGGGUAUGUGGAAAUGUGAUUUAGAAUUUCAAACAAAAUAUGGUCAUAUGUGGGGGUAAGUAGUUUGGAAAUGUUAAUAUGUGGUUUUGCUAAGAUGU
This is a long non-coding RNA of Mus pahari (shrew mouse), 338 nucleotides long. RefSeq lists it as uncharacterized. The transcript is spliced from 3 exons. The record is from RefSeq and is a predicted model, not a curated record. Lineage: Eukaryota; Metazoa; Chordata; Mammalia; Rodentia; Muridae.